RNAcentral lists this long non-coding RNA (2305 nucleotides) under Vulpes vulpes (red fox). Its description in RNAcentral is "lncRNA (ENSVVUG00000027605.1)". Lineage: Eukaryota; Metazoa; Chordata; Mammalia; Carnivora; Canidae. The record is from RNAcentral.
AUGCGAGCUGGCCUGGCUAACUGCAGACCUAAAGAAUGCGCAUCUCUCCCUCCAGGUUCAGAUCCACCCACAGCCCUGUGGCUCCUUCACUUUAUGUUCAGUGAGGCAUCAAUCACUCAGCCGAUGUGGAACACAGGAAGAGCUCAGGAAAAUGCUGAGGGCUGGAGAGUGUUUCAUUUCAUAAAGAACCAUGCUAAGAGCCACAGCCACCACCUUUUUUUUCCUUUUUUUUUAAGAAUAAUUUUUGUUUUUUUUUUAAAUUAUAAAAACUAAGUUCAUGGAAAAACAUUUAGAAAAUGCAAGAAAUACUUUAAAACAUUAAAAUUAUCUUUAGCUCAACUCCCUGACAUUUUGAUGUGUUUCUUUCCAGUGGGGAAGACCUCGUAUACCACUGCAGCAGGCGGGAGCCAGAAGUGGGUCAGAACUCUGGAUGAAGUGCUUGAGGCUCCAGAUCUGGACGCCCUGCUUCUUGGUCAACCAGCAGAGACUUCCUAAGGCUGGAGCCUGAGAGGGUGCUCUGGUCUGUCCAUUUCUUCAUCCCGAGGAGGAUGCUUAGAGCUGCAUUCUUCCCCCAGGCCCACUCCUGAAGUUCUGCAACUCUUCAUGAGCAGCUGCAGUUGCCCCAGAGGUGGGGGAAACCAAAUCCAAUAUCUAAUGUUUCGUUUCUUUGCUUUACCCUCUUGAAACCCUAUAGGAUGUGAUCUUUCUGUCCCCUUUGCUCCCUAUUUGGCAUCACCUUAAAGCCCUUUUACAUUGGGCGGAAUGCUUUGAUAGAACACAGGACUGGGAACCAGGGCUUCUGGGUUCCCCUCCCCCUGUGUGAUCUCGGGCAACUUGGCAGCAACAACCGUGUAGGUUUGACCAUCAGAUUGUGGUGGCAGCCUCUGAGUGACUUCAGGCUCACCCUGAGUCAACGUACUAACGCAGCAUGUAUGUGUCCUAUGAGUGAAUGAAUGAUUGUCCUGACUUUGGAUUCCACAGAGAAGAGACUUGAAAAAUAGUACAGGGAAAUUCCCACCAUGUUUUACAGCAUCACUGGUCCAAAAAAAAGGAAGAGGGUGUUUUAGUCUGCUAAAGCUGCUAUAAUAACAUUCCAUAGACAAGGUAGCUUAGACAAGAGGAGUUAUUUCUUGUAGUUGUGGAGAUUGGGAAGUCCGAAAUCAAAGUGCUAAGAGAUUUGGCGUUGGGGGAGAGCCUUCUCCGUGGCUGGUGGUUAGCUGUAGAUAGCUACCUUCUCACUGUGUGCUUCCAUGGCCUUUCCCUAGUGUGCGCUUGUGAGGAGAGGCAUCUCUUUCCUUCUUUGUACAAGGACCCUCCCCAUCAGGAGGAUCGCACCUUGAAGACAUAAUCUAAACCUAAUUAACUCCCAAAGGUUCCAUCUCCAAAACCAACACACUAGGGGGUAGGACCUCAUAAUGAAUUUUGGGGUAGACAAAGACCCUCAGCCCAUGGCAGGGUGUAAUGAAUCAGAGGACUGUCCACAGAGCACUGGCGCUCAAGUGCCAUGCCUGUGGGGGUUACCCAACUUUCUGGAGUCUUUUAGGUUAGCCUGUAAUGUAGCAAUACCUACCUUAAGGAUGGUCCUGGAGGUAAAGUAGCAUAACCAGUGUUCCACACUUGACACCAAGACUGGUUAACAAAGGUUUCAUCAAGAUGACUGAUAUUACUUCUGUUAUUGUUACUGACUUCAUUGCUUCUAUUGUUUCUCAUUCCCAAUGGUUAAGUACUAAUCAUGGGAGAGUUCAAAGAACCUCAAGAGCUUCAGGGCUUUUUUAGAGUGAUCGUUUCCAUCUAUAAAGUGCAGCUACUCCACAGAUUGUGAAAAAUCAAAUGCAAGUAAGUUCCAGAUUCUCUCCUUGCCAGUAGGAGAGCACUUCCUGGAACGUCAACUGAGCUGGACUUCCAAGCGUAUACUAGUGCAUCGUGGCAAGCCUGAAUCACUCGUUCUUAUCACCACCACCACCACCACCUCCUUUUUUUUUUUUUGAAAGAGAGCGCUAGCAUGAAUGGGGUGGGGGAGGGACAGAGAGGGGCAGAGGAAGAGAGAGAAUCUUAAGCAGACUCCAUGCCCGGUGUGGAGCCAGAUGUAGAGUUCCAUCUCACAACCCUGAGAUCAUGACCUGAGUGAAAAUCAGGAGUCUGAUGCCACCCAGGCACCCCUCUUAUCACUUUAUUUUAUAGGUGAGAGUUGAUGAUAGGCGUCAAAUGAAAGUUGGCACUGGAGCCUGGUUGCUAACUUCUCAGAGGGUCAUUAACAAAAGGGAUCUAUGUUAAGAGCAAUAAAGAAGCCCUUUCUGUUCUUGCA